GAUGAACGCUGGCGGCGUGCCUAAUACAUGCAAGUCGAGCGAACGGACGAGAAGCUUGCUUCUCUGAUGUUAGCGGCGGACGGGUGAGUAACACGUGGAUAACCUACCUAUAAGACUGGGAUAACUUCGGGAAACCGGAGCUAAUACCGGAUGAUAUUUUGAACCGCAUGGUUCAAAAGUGAAAGACGGUCUUGCUGUCACUUAUAGAUGGAUCCGCGCUGCAUUAGUUAGUUGGUAAGGUAAUGGCUUACCAAGGCAACGAUGCAUAGCCGACCUGAGAGGGUGAUCGGCCACACUGGAACUGAGACACGGUCCAGACUCCUACGGGAGGCAGCAGUAGGGAAUCUUCCGCAAUGGGCGAAAGCCUGACGGAGCAACGCCGCGUGAGUGAUGAAGGUCUUCGGAUCGUAAAACUCUGUUAUUAGGGAAGAACAUAUGUGUAAGUAACUGUGCACAUCUUGACGGUACCUAAUCAGAAAGCCACGGCUAACUACGUG
This 497-nucleotide ribosomal RNA is filed under the name uncultured bacterium. RNAcentral describes it as "partial 16S ribosomal RNA". It matches the Rfam family "Bacterial small subunit ribosomal RNA", at positions 28 to 507 of the family's 1533-position model. The record is from RNAcentral.